This 85-nucleotide transfer RNA is filed under the name Bacillota bacterium. RNAcentral describes it as "Firmicutes bacterium (anaerobic digester metagenome) tRNA-Tyr". It matches the Rfam family "tRNA". Rfam says of the family: Transfer RNA (tRNA) molecules are approximately 80 nucleotides in length. The record is from RNAcentral. Lineage: Bacteria; Bacillati; Bacillota.
GGAGAGGUGCCCGAGUGGUUAAAGGGGGCAGACUGUAAAUCUGCUGGCGUUGCCUACGGUGGUUCAAAUCCACUCCUCUCCACCA